This is a non-coding RNA of Ictidomys tridecemlineatus (thirteen-lined ground squirrel), 853 nucleotides long. NCBI's taxonomy places the organism in Eukaryota, Metazoa, Chordata, Mammalia, Rodentia, Sciuridae. The record is from RefSeq and is a predicted model, not a curated record.
AAGGGAAUGUUCUACAAAACAAGGUGAGGUCUGUGCCAUCAUAACUCAAGCCCCCUCCCCACGUUACUCUGCUCAUUGCCUUGAGGAGCAAAAUCCAGCAGUUUGGCAGACCAUGAAAAGAUCUGAGAGCAACUGGAGGUUCCUAGAUGUGUCAUCCAUGGAACACAGUCAACAUGUCGUUCAAAUUUGAAGUUCCUGGGAAAUGUGUAUCUUCAGAGUAUAGGCUCCAGGUAAAUUGAACUCAGAACUCUCAGGGAGAUCACAGCAGUUCCAUGUUAAGAGGAUGAAAACAUGAGAAUUCCACCCCAUUCCCACGACUGAGACCAGUGUCUAUCUCCCUUAGAAUAACCAGGAUGAGACUUGAUCCCUGACUAGGCAGUCAUCGCCUCUUACCAGCCUGAAGCAGCCAUAGAAGAUGGAUCUCCACCACUUACCAACCCUUAAGAAAGGGGGGAGGGAGGCCAUAGGAUUAGAUGCUAAAUAGAUUUGGAUGGACAAUUUGGCUUGUUCCACUCCUUCCUGGCCACUGCCUGUGUUAGCUUCCCCAAAUAAAACCUGAGCUGACAGCAAUGGAAUUUAUGAAGACCAGUAAGACAUGAGAAAUAUUCAUUUAUUAUAUCAUAAUUUGGUGACUGCGGUUAAUGUCCAACAGUGUGGAAACUUACGCUCUGAAAGCAAUGAAAUGACACAGAGCAGACAGCAGCUUGGGAAUCUUGGAAUGAUAUUUACAUCUCCCAGAGAAGAGUCAGCACCUGAAAUCUGACUUUUAUGUGGAGCUAAUCCUCCUUUUGGCAAUUACUUGCUUUCUGAGUAUUUUAAAGACAAAAUAAAAGUGAUAUCAGGUUAGUAGAAA